Molecule: ribosomal RNA, 844 nt
Filed under: uncultured bacterium
Lineage: Bacteria
Description: bacterial SSU rRNA
Rfam family: Bacterial small subunit ribosomal RNA
Source: RNAcentral
AUUAUGGCUCAGGAUGAACGCUGGCGGUAUGCUUAACACAUGCAAGUCGAACGGUCUCUUCGGAGAUAGUGGCGGACGGGUGAGUAACGCGUAAGAAUCUACCUUCAGGUUGGGGACAACCACUGGAAACGGUGGCUAAUACCGAAUGUGCCGAGAGGUGAAAGGCUUGCUGCCUGAAGAAGAGCUUGCGUCUGAUUAGCUAGUUGGUAGUGUAAUGGACUACCAAGGCGACGAUCAGUAGCUGGUCUGAGAGGAUGAUCAGCCACACUGGGACUGAGACACGGCCCAGACUCCUACGGGAGGCAGCAGUGGGGAAUUUUCCGCAAUGGGCGAAAGCCUGACGGAGCAAUACCGCGUGAGGGAGGAAGGCUCUUGGGUUGUAAACCUCUUUUCUCAGGGAAGAAAAAAAUGACGGUACCUGAGGAAUAAGCAUCGGCUAACUCCGUGCCAGCAGCCGCGGUAAUACGGAGGAUGCAAGCGUUAUCCGGAAUGAUUGGGCGUAAAGGGUCCGCAGGUGGCAUUGUAAGUCUGCUGUUAAAGAGUCUAGCUCAACUAGAUAAAAGCAGUGGAAACUACAAAGCUAGAGUAUGGUCGGGGCAGGAGGAAUUCCUGGUGUAGCGGUGAAAUGCGUAGAUAUCAGGAAGAACACCGGUGGCGAAGGCGUUCUGCUAGGCCAAAACUGACACUGAGGGACGAAAGCUAGGGGAGCGAAUGGGAUUAGAUACCCCAGUAGUCCUAGCCGUAAACGAUGGAUACUAGGCGUAGCUCGUAUCGACCCGAGCUGUGCCGUAGCUAACGCGUUAAGUAUCCCGCCUGGGGAGUACGCAGGCAACUGUGAAACUCA